UUAAAGAGCAGUAAUUGACUAAUUAAUUUAACCAUGUAUGUGAAACAAAAUUGGAGCAUUGGAUUCUCUGAGACACUGCAUGAAUUGAGUGAUGCAACAACUACCACCACCACUUGGUCGGACAUGACUCAAACUCGUGUUUAACUUUGUGAUGUAUAUGACUCAGUCUUAGAAACUUGAGGAAGAGUAGUGAUGACACUUUCAACUUGCAUUAUUGCCACUACAAUUAUGCAAGGGCCUCAUGCAUCGUGAAUGAAUAGGAUAGUUUACGACUUUUGCAGGACUAAUCACAUUUCUAAAAUUCAUAUGGUUCCUUUCCUUCAAUGAGCUACAUCCAAAUAUAAAUUCUUUGUAAUUUUUGAGAUAUGUUUGCCUGCUACUGGUCAGCUAUCCACUCUAUAAAGUUAUACCAUGGUUGCCUAAGUUAUACCAUGCUGCUAUACUCCAUAAGCCAGGCAUAACAAUGAACAGGUCAUCAAUCAACUCAAACACCUUAUAAUUGACACAUCCAUUUAUAUGUAAACUGCUUCUUACCUAUGAUACACAAUUU
Molecule: long non-coding RNA, 550 nt
Filed under: Rosa chinensis
Lineage: Eukaryota; Viridiplantae; Streptophyta; Magnoliopsida; Rosales; Rosaceae
Description: sRNA RchiOBHm_Chr7g0230061
Source: RNAcentral